This 39748-nucleotide long non-coding RNA is filed under the name Olea europaea (common olive). RNAcentral's name for it is "long non-coding RNA (OEUR_LNC003958)". The record is from RNAcentral. Lineage: Eukaryota; Viridiplantae; Streptophyta; Magnoliopsida; Lamiales; Oleaceae.
GAAUUGGAAUCUGUAAAUAAGACGAGCAUGAACAUGGAAAAUGAGAAGCCAUGAGUUGUUAAUGCAUCUGAAGAUUAAUAAAAAAAAAUGUGCUAAGUUUCUUUGUUCGAGCAAGCCUCAAAAGUCUUCCAUGUGUGAUUGCACUAGGAAGUUAAAUACAAAUGUUCAAGAAAUUGUGUUGACGAGUCCAUUAUAAUCAACCAACCUUACAUCAAACGAAGAAAUGCUCUCCCAUCAUGUUGGUGGAGCCGUGGUCUCUAUCUCAACUUCCAUCCACCAAUGGAGGUUUGACAUGGCCCACUUGCCGUAAUCUUUGACUACUCAUUUUGAAUAUCGCUUCAUUUGAGCUUUAAAUUGAGUGCUUUUUUAAAAAAAUUAUUACAUGAUUUAGGGUUUGAUCAAGUUUAAAUUGUGAUUCUUAAAGUUCACUUCAAAUUUUUUCCUUUCAAGAUUUACCCUUUGUUCCAUUUACCUUAAGUUUUUCUUUUUGGUGUUGAAUUUGUUCAGUCCCGCUCUUUUUUGUAGAUAAAGGAUAUCUUUGUCAGAGCAAUUACUUGUUUUAUGCAGGGAUAAAUAAGGCGAAAGAUUUAAUAUGUUCACAGGCAAAAGUUAACUCUUUGAAUUGAAAUUUUUUAUUCUCAACUUCAACUCUGAAAAUCAAGUGUUGUACUCUAAAGCAAGUCUUAUUCCAUGAACUCGGUAAUUAAUCGACAUCAUGAUGCUCCCAUGGACCCUGCCUUGUGUGUAUAUCCUAUUUGAGAAGUAUGGGCAGUCUUUUCGAAUGCAAUCAUUUUCCAGCUCAAGUGCACGAACAAUGGCAUCAUCUCUGCGAGCAUAUUACCCCAACUUCCUAGAUGAAGUAGAUGUAGAUAGUUUAGCUUUCUCAAUGCAUGAAUCAUACUCCCUGCAGUGAAAAACUUAUGCUCUUUUGACUUCUCGAGAUUAUUCGAGUACCUUAAAGAAAUUCUCUGAGAACUCAAAUCAAAUUAUAUUUGAUACAUAGUGAACUCAAGGAAGUGCUUCACAUCGUUUAAAGCAUCUAAAUAGGGGAUAUUGAUAUUAAUAUUGAGGCCUUUGAAGUUUGGAGCCCAUCCUACCUUUUCUUGAUUAACACACUAGCAUGCACACUCGAUCAAUAUAUUGGUUUGUACCUUAAACAUGUUCAAAAUUUUGUAGCAUCUUCUAUUAAAAGAAAAAUUACUUAUUCAUACUAUGAACAUGGAAAGAUGAACUUAAAUUUCACUCAUCAACAAAUAAAACCUCUAAUGCACAUGAAUUGCACGAAUUUACAAUUUAUACAUGUAAUGGACGAGUACUUAUCGUAUUCAUGUUAUUUAUGUGCAAGCAAUUGAAGGAGAUUUAUGUCACAAAACCACUCUCAGGUCCUCGAAUGCUCUCAUUUUCCUCAUUACCACCCCUUCAUCCUUCGAAUCAUUUGCAUUUCUCCACAUCCUAGAUUGUCUAUUAGCAAGUCUCACACGAUCCAACACCUCGAAUGAUUCAAUGGAUGCUUGUAGUUCCUAUGCUGAAUCUUAAAUUAUCUUCUGAAAUGUUGAAAUCCUCGUCAAAAUCAUUACUUGCUUCACUAGAAUCAAAAGAACUCGGUAAUUAAUCGACGUGAUGAUGCUCCCAUGGACCUCGCCUCUUGCAUAUAUCCUACUUGAGAAGUAUGGGCUAUCUUUUAGAAUGCAAUCGCUUUCUAGCUCAAGUGCAUAAACAAUGGCAUCAUCUUUACAAGUAUAUUUCCCCAUCUUCUUAGAUGAAGUAGAUGCAGACAUCUUAGCUUUCUCAAUGCAUGAAUCAUACUCCCUACAAUAGAAAACUUUUACUGUUUUUGAUGUCUCAAGAUUAUACGAGUACCUUGAAGAAUUUUCUAAAAACUCAAAUCAAAUUAUAUCUGAUACAUAUUGAACUCAAGGAAGUGCAUUACAUAGUUCAAAAUAUCUAAAUAGGGGUCAUUGGUAAUAAUAUUGAGGUGAUUGAAGUUUGGAGCCCAUUCUACCUUUUCUUGAUUAAUACACAAGCAUGCACACUUGAUGAAUGUAUCGAUUUGUACCUAAACAUGUUCCAAAUUUUGUAGCAUCUUCUGUUAAAUGAAAAAUUACUUAAACAUGCUAAUUUAUACUAUGAACAUGGAAAGAUGCACUGUAAUUGCACUCACUCAUCAACAAAUAACACCUCUAAUGCACAUGAAUUGCACGCAUUUAUACAAGCAAUGUAUGAAUACUUAAAUCGUAUUCAUGUUAUUUAUGUACAAGCACUUGAAGGAAACACUAGUAUACUCCUGGAUAUAAGGUAAAACGAAAAAUUACAUAAGCUAUUUUAUGCCAUGAACAUGGUAAGAAGAACUCAAAUUGCACAUGGCAACAAAAUAUACCUCUAAUGCAUGUGAAUUGUACUCAUUUAUAAAUGCAACGCAUGAAUAAUUAAUAAAAAGAUGAUCUGAGAAUCGGCUAAACUUUGCCAAAAACUAACUAGUUGAGAUAGUUCAACUUUGUCGUGAAUUUUGUACUCAUCCUUGAUUGCAAAUGCUCUACUAUGGUCAAAUUAGUUAAUUACAGUAACUUCGUUUUCGAUUGCCUCUCAUAUUGGGUGGAAUGAACAAAACUUCUUUUUUCAAUGAGAAAGAUAACUACACCUAAUUAGUUCAUUCGCCUAAGUUUUACAUUACGCCUAAUUAGUUCAUUCUCCUAUGCAACAAUAAAACGAGCACAAAUAUGACAAUUACUAUCAAAGAGAACUUUUUUCAAUGUGUUUUGAUGUGCAAUCUAGCAUUCAAAAUAUUUUCUUCAAAUUUAGGAUUAGUAAUAAAAGUUGAUAAGUAAUCAAGCAGCUUAUUUGAUCUCCCUUCUAGACUAGGAUCCAACUGGAUUUGGUUAAAAAAUAAAGAACUAUUAAGAAUUUUGACAACUUUCACAACCCCCGAAUUAUACUCCAUAGUACAAAAAGAAAAUAGGCUGAUAUAUCAUUAACAAGUGGCAAACAAACGCAAAAGAUAUAAGAAACUUAAGAAGAAUUAAAAACAAUAGACGAACUUCUAUACAAAAAUAUUUUUCAAAUAAAAAUUAGAACAUUCCAACCUAUUGAGAAUAAUAUAUAUUAUUUAGUUGUAAAGUAAUGUAAACCAAAUGUCCCGAAGAUGUCAUUGUUCUAAAGGACUUCAUAGAGCAAGACAGUCUAUGAUUUUCUUGUUGGACUUAAUCCAGAAUUUGAUCAAGUUAGAAUCCAGAUUCUUGGCAAGCAGGAAGUUCCAUGUUUUGAUGAAGUGGUGGCAUUGAUUCAAGGUGAGGAAAGCAGAAGGGGUCUGAUGCUUGAACCACAUAGCACUGACAGCUCUGCUAUGGUGGCUAAUGGUGGCAAUAAUUCAGCCACGCUUGUGGAAAGAACACCAAUUGUUGGAAAUGGAAGACCUGACCAACCAAUAGCUCAGAACCAUGAUUACAAGGAUAGCUUGUGGUGCACCUAAUAUAUGAAAGCACGUUAUAAGCGUGAACAGUGUUGGAAGCUUCAUGGAAAACCUCCAAGUCGAGAGUUGGGACAAAAAGGAGAACAGUCAAGAAACCAUUGUCGGGCCCAUGUUGCUGCGAUGCAGCAGCACCACAGGAGUCAAGUGGUCUCAAUCAAGAGGGGUCGAAAGAGUGAGAUUUCUUAUUGGCAAUCUUGACAAACCUGCAAGUACUUGUUCAUUGGAGUAUUCAGGUGAGUGUCCAUUCUCUAUUGGAUUAAAUAUCUCGGGUGAAACCUUUGCCAUCUCAUGGGUUAUGGAAUCAAGAGCUACCGACAUAUGACCCACUCACCAAAUAUUUUUUUCACAUAUUCUCUAUGUCAAGCAAUGGGAAACUAGUCGCAGCUGAUGGUUCUUUGACCACUGUAGCAGGUAUAGGAGAUGUCAAAAAAAGCUCCAUCACUGACCUUAAAAAAUAUUCUCCAUGUCCCUAGACUAUUCACAUAUCUUGUCUCUAUACAAAAACCCACUCAAGAUUUACGUUGUAAUGUGGUUUUUCAUCAUAGUUGUCAUGUAUUUCAGGACGAGGAUUCGGGGAAGAUGAUUGGACAUGCUAGAGAACGGAAUGCACUCUACAACCUUGAAUCACCGAGCCAGUCAAGCAUUAUCAAGGGCAAAUUACCUCAUUCUUUUGUUUCAGAGUCUUUUUCAUCCAAUAAAGAGAAAGUUUGGCUUCACCCUCGCCGACUUGACAUCCGUCAUUUAGGGUUAUUAAAAUUCUAUUUCCUUCUUUAUUUAAGGGUCUAGAUGUCGCAAAUUUUCAUUGUAAAUUGUGCAAACUCGUUAUACACAAACUGUGUAUCUUUUCCAGUUAGUAAUAAAAGAACUUCUAUUCCUUUUUAUCUCAUUCACAGUGAGAUUUGGGGUUCUUCUACUAUUUGUCAUGUUUCUUGGGCAAGAUGGUUUGUUUCAUUUUUUGAUAAUUGUACUUGUGUUACUUGGAUUUUUUUGCUCAAACAUAAAUCUGAUGUUGGUACCAUUUUUCCAAAUUUUUGUUCCGUGAUUAAGAAUAAAUUUGGGGUCAAUAUCAAAAGGUUUAGAUCGGAUAAUGCUAGGGAUUAUUUCAAUCAAUUGCCGUCUUCAUACUUUCAGAAGGAAGGGAUAGUACAUGAGUCAUCUUGUGUUAGUACCCCACAGUAAAACGGAGUAGCAGAAAGAAAAGAUAGACACCUUCUUGUAUUAACCCAAGCCUUCAUGUUUCAGAGAAAUGUACCUAAACCCUUUUGGGAAGAGGCAAUUCUUAGAAGUUACAACCAUGCAUCUUAUAAAUCAUUUACCUUCUAAAAUCUUGGGAUUCAAGAGUCUAAUGGAAAUACUCUCAACAGUCUAUCCUAAUAUACACACUACAAAUAAUCUUCUCUCUAGGAUAUUUGGGUGCAUAUCAUUUGUCCAUGUCCAUAGUCAAAAUAGGGGAAAGUUGGAUCCUAGAGUGUUAAAAUGUGUCUUUGUGGGUUAUUCACGGCUCCUUAUCUUCAGUGGGAGAAUUCAACAAUGUAAGAUAAGGAUAGUUUUUUGCUUGAUCUACAGUCACUUCCUCAUUCCACUAUGCCAAAUCAUGUGUCUCCUAUGUCUGAACAUGUGCCCGAAAAUCCCCAUACAAAGAGAGACUUUGCUCUUGAAAAUGUAAGAUUUGGUAAGGGCAAGGUGUUUUCGAGGAAGGAGAAUUUGUUCAGUCUCACUCUUUUUGUAGAUAAGGGAAAAAACAUUUGUCACAACAAUUAUCUGUUUCAUGCCUGAAUUAAUAAAGCGAAAGAUUUAGGAUGUUUAGAGACAAGGUUAAUCCUUUAAAUUAAAUUUUUUUAUUUUAAACUUCAACUUGCAAAUUAGGUUCUGUAUUCUAAAGCACAAAGCUUAUUCCCGUCUUUUGGUUCACAAAAAUAUUUCAAUAACUUUUGACUUUGGUUGGUUGUGUAUAAAUUUCUAGUUAAAUUGUACAAUAAUUUAGCGUGCAUGAUUUUUGAGAUUAAUGUUAAUUGAAGAAACGUACUUUGUAGUUGACUAAGUGUUCAGAUUGAAAUGUUGUUUUUGGUAAAAAAGAUGGCGAUAAAAGGGGUGAGAUGUCUUUGCAGAAUGCAUUCCUUUCUUUGGUGCCUCCUCGUAACUAGUUCAAUAACACGAACAUGUUGGUGAAUGUUUCCAAUGUUUCAUCUUUCCUCCAACAGUUAUUCUACUUUACUGUGCUCCAAUUCAUGUAAUUACUUAUUUUCAAGGCUUGUAAUGUAAUUAAGUGCUGCUUUUUAAUAACUCUUGUCAUCUUCAAACAACCUAUCUCAUUUAAUUUUCUGUAUAAUUUUCAAAUACAAUCCAACCUUUCAAAUGCACUGUGAGAUUACAUGGUAUGCUUAACUAUUAGUUUUUGGUUUAAGAGUUGUUUCUUUUCUUAGCAGAUAUGCCGCCCAAGCUUAUGCAAGACUCUUAGGUCUCCAUUGUCAAAUCUCAAUCCUGGUUGGUUCCUUGAUUGAUUAAAUUUUUGUAUGUAAUUUAGUUCGGUUUAACUAGCACAUUUUUCACUAUGAUUUUUUCAUUUCAACUGAGACAAUUCAAUGAAUUUUGGACAUUAUUUUCUACAUACAAAAUUAAAAACACUUUUUAUUUUAUUUAUUUUAUUUUAUUUUAUCUUAUUUUAUUUCAUUUUUUUACGAUUUAAAGUAUGUCUUAUGUGCUUGGAAAUAAUGUUUCAACCCAAGAACAUCCAUUUGAAGCACAAAAAUUGCACAAGCAAAAAUAAACUUCAAUGCUCACAAAUUUCAUAUUACUAUGUUCAGAAUUAAAAUCUAAUCUUAGAAGCCAUUUAAGUGGCAGAUAAUAUGAUACAAAGCAGAGAAAAUUCAAUUGUUAGUUCCGGUUUCAACUAAACUAGAUAGUAAUUUAAGUCGGAUUUCUCAAAUCCUGUUAAGUGCACGAAAGAACUGAAAAUGGGUAAUCAGAUUUUUUUAUCCGAGUCAUUUUCACUUAUGGAAACCUGCUUCUUGAGUAAUGGGUCGUUUUCACCAUAUUCAUUCUAUCCAUGGUAAGCUCAUGCUUUCUUAUCGGUUUUAAUUAUUCAAUCUAUUCUCUCAGUUAAAAGAAUAUUAAACCAUUAAGAAUACAUCUUCCAUGGCACAAGAAAUAGAACCUUAGUCAAUUAUAAUCACCAAAUCCUAUGAAAAAUGGCGGAAUGCUCUCCCAUCGGGUGGUGGAAACCGAUGAGGCUGUCUAUUAUGGUUGUGACUUAUUGUGAAUAUCGCUUCAUUUGAGCUUUAAAUUUAGUGUCCCUUAUUUGUUACAUAAUUUAGGGCUUGAUCGAGUUUAAGUAGUCAUUCUUGAAGUUCACUUCAAAUUUUAUCUUUUCAAGAUAUUCCUUUCGUUCCAUUUACCUUAAAUUUUUCUUUUUGGGUUUAAUUUGUACUACUCACUCUUUUUGGUAGAUAAGGGAAAGGGUACAUUUGACACGAAAGUUCUCUGUUUUAUGCAGGGAUUAGCAAGGCAAAAGAUUAAGGAUGUUCAGAGACAAAAGUUACUUUUUUAAAUAGGUAUGUUUGAUUUUCAACUUCAAUUCUGCAAAAAAAGGUGCUAUAUUCUAAUGCAAGAGACUUAUACCAGUGUUUUGGUUCAAAAUAACAUUUCAAAUAAAAAAUCGAAUAUUGUUACAUUUUACAAUUAACAUAAGCACUCAAACUGUACACAGCAAAAAUGAACUCCAACGCAUGCAUAUCGCACACACAUUUAUAUACAGAAAACAUUAAUGAAUAAUCACAUAAUAUAGUGUGAAAGUUCUUUCAAAAUACCAAACCCAGUCAGUUGGUGAUAGUAUCAAAAGACGUCCAAAGAGGCAGUAUCCAUCUGGGGUGGGGAGUAAGGAGGCUCUGUAGAAGAAUAGCAUAGCCCUAGAUAAAACUGUUGCUCUCUCAGCUUCACAAAAUCCAACAAAAAGAGGCACAUGGAUAGGCGGAAGGGGAACAUUGUGGAAGUCAGAAACCAAACAACAACAGUAAGCAGGGCGAUCCAUAAAUUUUCUUCUGGAAAUUAUCUAAAAGGCUAUUUGGGAGAUGAAAGAGUUAUUUCUGCCAGUGACAAGUCCACAAGCACAAAGAAGUGGUCUCAGUCUAAACUUUUCACCAUGCUGAUGGAAAAGUAACAACAAAAAUCUUUGUGAAGCUACACCUGUGGAACAUUGCUGUUGAAUUGGAAUUUGUAAAUAAUGUUAGAUUUUGUAUUGCCUAUUUUGUGAACAAAAGGGUAAACGUGUAAAUGCUCAAAAGUUUGGGGUCAAUUUGUCAAUUAUUAAAGGUUAGGGCUCAUUGUGUACAUGUGUAAAAGAUGAGAGACUCAGUUGCAAUUUUGGCAAAGUGUGCUAGGGUUCGAUCUAUGAAGUAGGGCAAGAUGUGUUGUCGAAGUUUCGCUAGCUGCUCACCAAGUGGUUGCUCGAGCGACAAAAAUAGAAUGGUCGUCUCUUGCUUCUCUCCCCCACUUCGCUUGAGCGAAACAACGUCUCUCGCUAGUCGCUCGAGCGACAGUGUUACCCAUAAACCCUAUUUUCCUUUUUUUCGACAUUUUAACCCGACCAGAAAUACCAAAAAAAUAUAUACAUGAGAAAAACUGCGCCGAAUUCAGAUAGUGCUUUGAAGGUAUUGAAAUUGAGCACAACUUUCCUAAACUUCAAGUUUCUCAUUCAAUCCUAUAUUUGAUUUGAUCAAAUCAACAUUCAUCAAACACCACAACACAAUCUUCUAGUGCCUUUGUUGAUUCUUGGAGAUCGAGGAAGGAGAUCGGAGUCUCGAUCAUUAGAGAACAGGCAGUUCUCUUGAAUCCACAAGAGAUAAACAAAAUUAAGACUUGGGAAUUGGUGUAGCACGCAAUCUAGGAGGGCUAGGUACCGGGAGUUGGUGCAGGAUCACACAUUCCAGGAAGGGCUUGAGGAAACUAUGGUCAGGAUGUCAGAAAAACCAGUGUAGGUUGAGUCUGGAUGAUUGUAAGUUUCAUUUACGUUUAUAGUGGAUUCCUACUGGCUUGGGCCAGGAGUUUUACCCACAUUGGGGUUUCUCCGUUAUCAAACAAUUGUGUUAUUUAUAUUUCUAUAAUUAAUUUAUGAUCGGUAUUCAAACAUAGGAUAGUAAAGCAUGUGAACUGAUUUGGACAAAUUAAUUUUUGUGACGUGUUGCAAUAAUUAAUUGAUUCAAAAAAAAAUUCCACAUAAACACCUCUUCACCCCCCUCUAGGUGUUGAUUGGGUCAAACUACGUUAUUUCAAGUGGUAUCAGAGCCAAAAAUCGAGUCCUGACCCAUUGUUGUCUAGAUGAGUCAAUCACUGUAUGUGCCUCCGUAUUUUGACGGAAGCAACUAUUCCUACUGGAAGAUUAGGAUGCGUGCUUUUCUUAAGUCCUUAGAUGAACGUGUUUGGAUGAGCGUACAAAAUGGUUGGAAAUCCCCUUCUACAACUGUGCCAGGUGUUGUCAAUCUAACUGAUAUUUCACUUUGGACUAAGGAAGAGUUAGCCGAUUGCAAUUGGAUGCCUUGUUUAUGUCCGUGUCUCCCGAAGAAUUUAAGAGAGUAUCAAUGUGUGAAACUGCUAAAGAGGUAUGGGACAUUCUAGAAACUACGCAUGAGGGGACUAAAACUGUAAAAAAAUUCAAAAUUGCAAAUGCUAACCUCAAGGUUUGAAGAGAUCAGGAUGAAGGAUGAUGAAUCUUUUGAUGAGUUCUAUGCCAAAUUGAAUGACAUUGUUAACUCUAGCUUCAACCUAGGUGAGAGGAUUUUCGAGCCCAAAAUUGUGAGAAAGGUUCUUAGAUCCUUGCCCGAGAGAUUUAGACCUAAAGUUAUAGCUAUUGAAGAAAGCAAGGAUCUGGAUACAAUUAAGAUAGAAGAACUCGUAGGAUCCCUUCAAACCUAUGAACUCACCAUUUCACAACCAAGAAAGAACAAGUCCAUAGCCCUGAACACUGUUAGGGAAGGAGAGUUUGAAUCAUCUGACAUGGAAACUCUUAGAGAUGAGGAGAUUGCCUGUUUUGUGAAAAAAUUUCAAAAAGUCUUAAAGGGCAAAAAAUGGCCUCAAGAGAAAAGGAGAGGAGCCCCUAGCAAAUUGCCAAGAGAGAAAGAUGAUAAAUCAACUGCUGGGAACCCUGGUAAGAAAUCUCAAGGGGUUAGGUAUCAUGAGUGUCAGGGAUUUGGGCACUAUAGAAAUGAAUGUUCUAUCUUUAAGAAAAAUCUAAAGAAGGGGAAUAGGAAGGCAUUAACUGUGUCCUUGACUGACGAUGAUUCUAAUUUAAGUGAACAAAGUGAUUCCUCAAGCAGUGAGGAUGAAAAGGGCUAUAUGGCUUUUGUAUUUACCAUCAAGAACGAGUUAGACAAGGAGAGUGAGAAGGUUGAGGAGGAAGUGGAGAGUAGCAAGUCCGGUGAUGAUUCGAAGGAUGAGACGGAUAUACAUGAGACUUAUCAACUCCUGUUUAAGGAGAGUCUCAAGAUCAAAAAGGUAAAUAAAGCCCUUUUUAAGAAGGUAGACGAGAUUGAGAGAGAGAAGGAGAAAAUCACCGAUGAUCUUCAAAUCUCAUCUAAGAGUCUAAGUGAGUUGAAGUGUGUCAAUGAGAGAUUAGAGGACAGGGUCAAGACAUUGANNNNNNNNNNNNNNNNNNNNNNNNNNNNNNNNNNNNNNNNNNNNNNNNNNNNNNNNNNNNNNNNNNNNNNNNNNNNNNNNNNNNNNNNNNNNNNNNNNNNNNNNNNNNNNNNNNNNNNNNNNNNNNNNNNNNNNNNNNNNNNNNNNNNNNNNNNNNNNNNNNNNNNNNNNNNNNNNNNNNNNNNNNNNNNNNNNNNNNNNNNNNNNNNNNNNNNNNNNNNNNNNNNNNNNNNNNNNNNNNNNNNNNNNNNNNNNNNNNNNNNNNNNNNNNNNNNNNNNNNNNNNNNNNNNNNNNNNNNNNNNNNNNNNNNNNNNNNNNNNNNNNNNNNNNNNNNNNNNNNNNNNNNNNNNNNNNNNNNNNNNNNNNNNNNNNNNNNNNNNNNNNNNNNNNNNNNNNNNNNNNNNNNNNNNNNNNNNNNNNNNNNNNNNNNNNNNNNNNNNNNNNNNNNNNNNNNNNNNNNNNNNNNNNNNNNNNNNNNNNNNNNNNNNNNNNNNNNNNNNNNNNNNNNNNNNNNNNNNNNNNNNNNNNNNNNNNNNNNNNNNNNNNNNNNNNNNNNNNNNNNNNNNNNNNNNNNNNNNNNNNNNNNNNNNNNNNNNNNNNNNNNNNNNNNNNNNNNNNNNNNNNNNNNNNNNNNNNNNNNNNNNNNNNNNNNNNNNNNNNNNNNNNNNNNNNNNNNNNNNNNNNNNNNNNNNNNNNNNNNNNNNNNNNNNNNNNNNNNNNNNNNNNNNNNNNNNNNNNNNNNNNNNNNNNNNNNNNNNNNNNNNNNNNNNNNNNNNNNNNNNNNNNNNNNNNNNNNNNNNNNNNNNNNNNNNNNNNNNNNNNNNNNNNNNNNNNNNNNNNNNNNNNNNNNNNNNNNNNNNNNNNNNNNNNNNNNNNNNNNNNNNNNNNNNNNNNNNNNNNNNNNNNNNNNNNNNNNNNNNNNNNNNNNNNNNNNNNNNNNNNNNNNNNNNNNNNNNNNNNNNNNNNNNNNNNNNNNNNNNNNNNNNNNNNNNNNNNNNNNNNNNNNNNNNNNNNNNNNNNNNNNNNNNNNNNNNNNNNNNNNNNNNNNNNNNNNNNNNNNNNNNNNNNNNNNNNNNNNNNNNNNNNNNNNNNNNNNNNNNNNNNNNNNNNNNNNNNNNNNNNNNNNNNNNNNNNNNNNNNNNNNNNNNNNNNNNNNNNNNNNNNNNNNNNNNNNNNNNNNNNNNNNNNNNNNNNNNNNNNNNUCAAAGAAAGAAUGCUGUGUGUAAGCCGUGUCAUCAAGGAAAGCAACUCAGGAUAAACCAUAAGCGAACCUCGAAAAUCUUGACGAAUAGACCCCUAUAGCUUCUCCAUAUGGAUUUAAUGGGACCAUCUAGGGUAGAGAGUUUAGGAGGCAAACGGUAUAUCCUGGCUGUGGUAGAUGAUUUUUCUAGAUUCAUCUGGAUUGAUCUGUUAAGAGAAAAUUCUAAACGGGUGAUCUGGUUAAGUCCUAAUGCAAAAGACUCAAAGUUGAACAAAAUCUUCCUAUUUCUAGGGUUCAAAGUGAUCAUGGAAAAGAAUUUGAAAACUUCAAUCUAGAAAACUUCUGCUUGGAGGAGGGGAUUAAGCAUGAGUUCUUCUCACUAAUCACGCCACAACAAAAUGGAGUUGUUAAGAGGAAGAAUAGAGUGCUUCAAGAAAUGGCAAGGGCCAUGCUUUACAGCAAGGAUCUAGCAAUGCAUUUCUGGGGUGAAGUUAUUAACACCGCGUGCCAUAUAAUAAAUAGGGUAUACCUGAGACCAAAAUCAGACAAGACUCCCUAUGAGAUCUGGAAAGGCAAGAAGCCUACUGUUAAAUACUUUCGGGUGUUUGGCAGCAAAUGUUACAUUCUGGGGGAUAGAGAAAAUCUAGGCAAGUUUGAUUCCAAAACUGAUGAUGAGAUUUUUCUAGGAUAUUCUAAGAACAGUAGAGCAUACAGAGUUUACAUAUUGCGUAUUCAGAAUGUCUUGAAAUCUGUAAAUGUUGUUAUUGAUGAUGCCUUUACUGAGGGGGAGAGUGCUGAAAAUGGUGUUGACAUAGAAGAUCUAAGUGAAGAUCAAGGAGCCACUGCUGAAAAUAAAGAGCACUCAAUCCCAAAAUCUCCACGAUCCUCAGAAAACAUAUCUGAGUAGGGUUUACCAAAUUGGAAUCAGUCUAGGCUUUCUAGAGAACCAUCUUCAAGGGUCAAAUCUAAUCAUCCUAAUGUUAACAUCAUUGGGGAUUCGGAUGAAGGAAUGAGGUUACGAAGGAGAGUUCUAAAUAACCUAACGUAUACUAGCUAUGUAUCCCAGAUUGAACCUAAGAAAGUAGAAGAAGCCCUUAGAGAUGAAUGCUGGGUGAAUGCCAUGCAUGAGGAGCUUAAUCAAUUCGUUCGAAAUAAUGUUUGGAACCUAGUUCCUAGGCCUGAUGAUUCUAAUGUGAUAGGUACUAAGUGGAUUUUCAAGAACAAAAUUGAUGACCAAGGUACUAUAACUAGGAAUAAGGCUAGACUAGUUGCCCAGGGGUACACUCAGCUGGAAGGGGUAGAUUUUGAUGAGACUUUUGCCUCAGUUGCUCGUCUUGAGUCCAUUCGUAUUCUUCUUGUAGUUGCAUAUACCUUAAGGUUCAAGCUAUAUCAAAUGGAUGUCAAGAGUGCAUUCUUGAAUGGAAUACUCCAAGAAGAGGCGUAUGUUGAACAGCCGAAAGGAUUCAUUGACCCUAAGUUUCCUCAUUAUGUCUACAAACUAAAUAAAGCACUGUAUGGUCUGAAACAAGCUCCUAGAGCUUGGUAUGACAGACUCACUACUUACCUCGUUGAGCAUGGGUUCUCACGAGUUGGUGCUAACAGAACCUUAUUCAUUAGACAUAUGAAAGAAACUAUCAUUGUAGCUCAUAUCUAUGUCGAUGACAUCAUCUUUGACUCUCCCAUUGACUCCCUUGCUCUUGAAUUUGCUGAAUGCAUGAAACAAGAACUUGAAACGACUAUGGUUGAGGAGCUAAGUUACUUCCUUGGUCUUCAAGUAAAGCAAACUGAUUGUGGGCUGUUUAUCUCUCAAUCAAAAUAUGCCAAAGACCUUGUGAAGAGAUUUGGUUUGGACAGUAAGAAACACACAAGGACACCCAUGAGCACAAAUGUUAAGUUAGGACAUGAUCCUACAAGUAAGAGUGUUGAUCAGACUAUGUAUAGGAGCAUGAUAGGCAGUUUACUAUAUCUUACUGCCAGUAGACCUGACAUUACGUUUAGUGUUGGUGUAUGUGCUAGAUUUCAAGCUGAUCCUAAGGAGUCCCAUCUAAGUGCAGUGAGGCGCAUUAUUAGAUAUGUCAAUAGGACAGUAGAUCAUGGGAUCUUGUAUUCCAGAGAGUCCAAUCUAGAACUAGCCAGCUAUUCUGAUGCCGAUUGGGCCGAAAACGUCGACGAUAGAAAAAGUACCUCGGUGGAUGUUUCUGAGUGACUAUGGGAUAAAUCAUGGUAAUAUGAUUGUUUUCUGUGACAAUACUAGUGCUAUCAAAAAAUCCGGUUCAGCAUUCUAGGACCAAACACAUUGACAUUCGCCAUCACAUUAUUUGUGAACUAGUUGAGUCCAAUGUCAUUUCUCUUGAACACAUCUCUACUGAAAAUCAACUUACCGAUCUAUUCACUAAACCUCUAGAUGAGUUUAGAUUCGAGUUACUUAGGAAGGCUGUUGACAUCUGUGUUCCUCCCUAAUCGUCUUCAAAGAUGCAUGCAUUUCUUUUCAUUCAUUACGUUACCUCUAUGUGUUCAUUUGCAUUUUUUAAAAAAAGGGGGGAGAUUGAUCAUCACAUGUCAUUUUUGCUUUGUAGUUGUUCCCUCGGAGUUGCAAUUUGAAAUCAAAUGUGCAUUCUACACAUGAUUAGUUUGUAAUUCCCGUCACCUAUCCUGAGUCUGUAUGGAGUACUUAGUAUAUGUCACUUCAUAUUAUAUUUGCACAACACAGACUAGGACCGUGUGAGUGAGUCUUGACUGCAUGUGUAAGAUUUGGGAUGGCUAUCAUCUGUCUUUGAGUAGACACUGGGUUUGAAUUGAUCUUGGACUAGAUGAUCUAACUUCUGGUGUACCCCCAUGUGUUUCCACAGAGUAUUUAUUAUAUCACAUUUUAUAUCUAUCUUCGGAGCCUAGAUGACUCGAGCAAUUAAGUUUGAGGGGUUUCUCAUAACCUGGUGCCCUAAAACCAACUGGUUUGGGAGUCGUUGACCCAAUGCUCAUUACAAGGAUUUUCUUAGUAGCUUAAUGGAGAUGGGAUUGCACGUAAGAUUAAAAAAAAAUUGAGGUCUUUAACAAUAGGGGGAGAAAGAACAGUUUUACACCAUAUUUUAACGAAGUAUAGGUCCUAGUGGCAUUGGAUUUGACCUUCACACAUCUAAGUGUUGACUCCUACGUCGGUGAUUUGGCUGUCUCUUCUCACAAAUUUAAGGUUUGAGUCUUACUUGCUUGGAAUGAGUGGCACAUUUCACGAGGGGUCACAUAUACAAUUUACUCCAUUUGUACUUGGUUCGGUGUGUGGGUAACCAUUUUCUAAUCAUUGUGCGUGCCGUAUUUGUGAUCUAUUGCCUUUGAUUGGACCAAUUGCCUCUGCAUUGUUCAUGCAUUUUAAAUUAAAAACAAUAAAAUUUUGGGGUCUAAAUUCAAUUUUCUGAAAAAUGUGCUAUUUUUGAAAGUUUCUGAAGUACUGUUACUUUGCUAAAUUUUAAACCUGGGACAAACUUUUCAACUUUUCAAGUUUAGGUGCUAUUUUUGUCAUUUCCCUGUCACUCAGUCGAGCGACAGAAGCAGUGUCUUUGUCGCUCGUUGUUCUAGCGAAACCUAGGGCUGGGCAAAUCUCCUGAAUCGAACCGACUGAACCGAACUAAACUGAACCCGAUGGUUCUUGUCAAAUUAAAUACCCGAACGAGUAUCUGAAUUGAAAAUCGACGGGUACGGUUCGGUUCUCGGUUCUAGACUAAGAACCGAAGAACCGAAUAAGAACCGGAUCUUUCUAAUUUUUUUUUAUAUUGAGUAAAUCAAAUUAUUAUAAUUUUAAUUCUUUCUAAACAAAUUAACAAUUUCUAAAUCCAAAUUUUUGGUCCAAUAAUUUGUUUCAUUUCUAAUUUUUUAAUUUUCGGCCCAAUUACCUAUUUUAUUGUUUCAUUUCUUAGCUCAACAAGAUCCAAUCUACUAAAUAACUCUAAACACUUACACUAAAGUGCAUAACAUUGUCUCAACCCUCGCACUCACACUCGCAGCCUCGCUAACCUUCCAAAACCUAUACAGUCGUCGGCCAACGCCGUGACCUCCGUCGACCGAUGCUUUGACCAUAGUGAUCAUUUGAACAAGGCACUUGUCUCUGACAUUCUAAAACCAUUGAAUGUAUCAUUAGUUGUAUUUAUAUAAUUGUAUAAUGUUGUUAUAAAUGUUAAAAUUUUUAAUUAUAGUACAGAACCGAACGGAAUCGAACCGAACUGAACCGAACGAAAUCGAACCCGAAUGGUUCCAUAAUUAUAUUUGGACCCGACGGGUCCAUUUAUUAGAUACCCGAGAAUCUUGGUUCGGUUCGGUUCUCUUUAGAAUCGAACCAAACCGACCCGCGCCCACCCCUAGCGAAACCUUUUAUUUUCUUACGCCCUUCUGCCUCUUUUUUUAUUUUCAUUUCUUCCUUUUCUCUCUCAUUUUUUUCUCUCAACUCGACACUCCUUGGUCGAUUUGCCAUUGAUUUCUCCCAUGUGGAGCUUCUACUCUCAUUCCUUGUGCGCUUAACUUGGUGAUUCAUUCCUCCCUUUUUUGGUAAGUGCCUUGCAUUUUCGUUUGGUUGUUGUUUUUUAUUUGUUUUUCUUUUCGCCAUUUGGUUUCUUUGGACUUGGGUGUUUUGUUGGUGUGCUAGGUAGAUGGUGGUGUUAUGGGGUGUUGGGUGUCUCUUGCAUGCUUACAUUUGUCGCUUCUACUUCUUGUGCAUACAAUGUGUUCGAUGAAACGUCUCCUCACCACAGACUUGAUUCUCUUCUCCAUUGUGUGCCAUUUCUCAUGUGUGAUUGGUGUCUUAGGUACUAAACAUUUGAGUUCAUUAGUUAUUUGACCUUAUUUCCUAUAACAUGAUGUGCACGCUUCACCUAUUAAGUCAUCAAACUUCACACAAAUCACCUACCAAUUCGGUGCUUACACCUCUCUGUUAUUGCAUGUACUACGUUUGGAGGAUUGUUUGACAUAGGACUCAUCAAUUCUCCAUUUCUAUUGGAAGUUUUUAUGUGUGUCGCAAUUUCAUCUUGAUCUUGUUUAUGUCUAGUUUACGUCCCAUCCGUGUUGCUCAUAGUCCACGGGCUUGUGUGUGAUUUCCCUUUAGGGCUUGUCUAGUCAUGUGUCUCCUUCACUUCGUUUUCCUUGGGGAUUGCCUUAUCUUCUACAUCUCGCAUUGUCGAUGGCACCUAAGAGGGCUAGGACCACAGCUCAGCCUAGCAGUGGAUUGGGUUCGUUUAGUCGUACUCGAUUCAUUUCCUCUACUGCUCAAGAAGUCUUUGGGAGCCAGUUUUCCCGUCGUCCUGUCCUAGUCGAGCGCGAGGUUACUCUGUCCGAUCUAUCACCUGAUGUGGCAGCUAUCUUUACUUCUCGGGGUUGGGAAUCCUUACUGAUUGGGUUAAAUCCCCCGCCUAGUCUUCUUAUUCAGGAGUUCUAUGUAAACAUUCAUAACAUUAGUGGUUCGUCCUUCUGGGUGUUCCUCUGGGGUCAUACCCUUAGGAUUUCCCCUGAUGUUAUUUCUAGCUCCAUACAUGUUCCCCGGGUCAUUCAUCCCGUUUACCCCUAUCUCUUGGCUGAUUCCAUUCCGGCCGAUUCUCUGGUUCGGUCCACCUUGUUUAACAGCCCUUUGGGGGGUGGGCCUGAGGCGAUCCGCACUGGUUCGCUCCCCACCGAUAGGCAAAUUUUGUUACACAUUGUGUGUACAAAUUUGUGGCCCGUCUCCCAUACUUCUUCCCUACCUAUGGACAAGGUGAGGUUUCUUUUUGCUUUACUACAUGGGGAUUCGAUUGACCUACCUACCUUCAUUUGCCAACACAUUCUGCAUACCUUUCGCACUUCCGAUCAUUGGAUUGGUUUGUCGUAUGGUUGCUUGAUCCACCGCUUGGUGACAUCACUUGGGGCUUCCUUUCCCGAUGGAGUCUCACGACGAGUGCUUCGUCCCAUAGGGCACACUACCAUCUCUCAAAGUAGGUCACGUGUCACCUCUUCUGCCUCUACCUUUGCUGAGCCUAUCGACCCGACAGUGCCUGCUGAUCCUUUGGGUGAUUUACUUGCUGAUCUCUUAGCUAUUCCUCCGCCUCCUUCCGAGGUUCCUCCUUCCACUUCAGAUAUUCCCUUUUCCUCCACUUCUAUUCCGCCACUCGACCAGCCUGCUCCGGCUACUGUUCCUGUUGACCUCACUGUCGUACUUAUGGGUCAGAUGUCGAUUCUCAUUGAACAGCAGGCCCACAUGAUGGCUGACAUUACUCAGUUAAGAGCUGCUUUCGAGCAUCAGACUGCGGAGUUUGCUACAUUGCGUGGGGCUAUUGCUCUUGUUCAGUGCGGUAUUCGGUGGAUGCGCGAGCACUGGGAUUAUGAAUCUGAUGUUGAGGAUUCUGAGGGCGUGGAUGGCAGAGAUGAUGGUCCUGAGUUCCCCUUGCCAUUUGCAAUAAAAAGGGGGAGUGUUUUUGGGAUUUAUAUUGAUAAUGUAUUAUAAUGAUAAUGUACUAUUGAUAUUUUUGGCUGGAUUAUGUAUUGAUGCUUUGCACUAUUGAUGUAUGUUUUUGGUUGUUUGACUUACAUUGAUAUUAAUAUUAUCUCUUAAUCUAGCAUAUUCGUACAAUGUUAUGGCUGUUCAUAACUCUUUACCUUUUUUAUGUACUUAUGUUACCGUUUCUCGUGCUUUUACACUGGGUAUGUGAGUUGUGAUUUCAGGAGACAGCUUGAGAGAUGACAAGGCAACAAUGAGUUGAGUCUAUGUAUUGGAUUAUCAUUGCUGCUGUAACUUGCUUUUGUCACAGAAUGCCAAAGGGGGAGUUUGUUAGAUUUUGUGUUGGCUAUUCUGUGAACAAAAGGGUAAAAGUGUAAAUGCUCAAAAGUUUGGGGUCAAUUUAUCAAUUAUUAAAGGUUAGGGGUCAUUGUGUACAUGUGUAAAAGAUGAGGGACUCAGUUGCAAUUUUUGCAAAGUGUGCAAGGGUUCGAUCUAGAAGUAGGACAAGAUGUGUCGUCAAAGUUUUGCAAACUGCUGGCCAAGUGGUCGCUCGAGCGACAAAAACAGAAUGGUCGUCGCUCGCUUCUCGCCCCCACUUUACUCGAGCGAAACGACGUCGCUCGCUUGUCACUCGAGCGACAGUGUUAUCCAUAAAACCCUAUUUUCCUAUUUUCGACAUUUUAACCCGACUAGAAAUACCAAAAAGAUAUAUACAUGAGAAAAACUGCGCCGAAUUCAGAUAGUGCUUUGAAGGUAUUGAAAUUGAGCACAACUCUCCUACACUUCAACUUUCUCAUUCAAUCCAAUAUUUGAUAUGAUCAAUUACAUGAAAAAGAUCAAAUCAACAUUCAUCAAAUACCACAACACAAUCUUCUAGUGCCUUUGUUGACUCUUGGAGAUCGAGGAAGGAGAUCGAAGUCCCGAUCAUUAGAGAACAGGUGGUUCUCUUGAAUCCACAAGAGAUAAACAAAAUCAAGACUUGGGAAUUGGUGUAGCACGCAGUCCAGGAGGGCUAGGUGCUGAGAGUUGGUGCAGGAUCACACAUUCCAGGAAGGGCUUGAGGAAACUAUGGUCAGGAUAUUAGAAAAACCAGUGUAGGUUGAGUCUGGUUGAUUGUAAGUUUUAUUUACAUUUAUAAUUGAUUCCUACUGGCUUGGGCCCGGAGUUUUACUCACAUUGAGGUUUCUCCAUCAUCAAACAAUUGUGUUAUUUAUAUUUCUGCAAUUAUUUUAUGACCGGUAUUCAAACAUAGGAUAGUAAAGCAUGUGAACUGAUCUGGACAAAUUAAUUUUUGUGACGUGUUGCAAUAAUUAAUUGAUUGAAAAAGAAAAUUCCGCAUAAACACCUAUUCACCCCCUCUAGGUGUUGAUUGGGUCGAACUACGUUAUUUCAAAUAAGAUGAGCAUGAACAUGGAAAAUGAGAAGCCAUGAGUUGUUAAUGCAUUUGAAGAUUAAUAAAAAAAAAAAAAUGUUCUAAGUUUCUUUGUUCCAGUAAGCCUCAAAAUUCUUCCAUGUGUGAUUGCACUGGAAGUUAAAUACAAAUGUUCAAGAAAUUGUGUUGACGAGUCCAUUAUAAUCAACCAACCUUACAUUAAACGACGGAAUGCUCUCCCAUCAUGUUGGUGGAGCCGUGAUCUCUAUCUCAACUUCCAUCCACCAAUGGAGGUUUGACAUGGCCCACUUGCCGUAAUCUCUGACUACUCAUUUUGAAUAUCGCUUCAUUUGAGCUUUAAAUAGAGUGUUUUUUUUUAAUUUGUUACAUGAUUUAGGGUUUGAUCAAGUUUAAAGAGUGAUUCUUAAAGUUCACUUCAAAUUUUAUCUUUUCAAGAUUUACCCUUUGUUCCAAUACCUUAAGUUUUUCUUUUUGGUGUUGAAUUUGUUCAAUCCCGCUCUUUUUUGUAGAUAAAAGAUAUCUUUGUUACAACAGUUACUUGUUUUAUGCAGGGAUAAAUAAGGCAAAAAUUUUAAUAUAUUCAUAGGCAAAAGUUAACUCUUUGAAUUGAAAUUUUUUAUUCUCAACUUCAACUCUAAAAAUCAAGUGCUGUAUUCUAAAGCAAGUCUUAGACCAUGAACUCGGUAAUUAAUCGACAUCAUGAUGCUCCCAUGGACCCUACCUUGUGUGUAUAUCCUAUUUGAGAAGUAUGGGCAGUCUUUUCGAAUGCAAUCACUUUCCAGCUCAAGUGCACGAACAAUGGCAUCAUCUCUACGAGCAUAUUACCCCAACUUCCUAGAUAAAGUAGAUGCAGAAAACUUAGCUUUCUCAAUGCAUGAAUCAUACUCCCUGCAAUGAAAAACUUAUACUCUUUUGACUUUUCGAGAUUAUUCCAGUACCUUAAAGAAUUUCUCUAAGAACUCAAAUCAAAUUAUAUUUGAUACCUAUUGAACUCAAGGAAGUGCUUCACAUCGUUUAUAGCAUCUAAAUAGGGGAUAUUGAUAUUAAUAUUGAGGCCUUUGAAGUUUGGAGCCCAUCCUACCUUUUCUUGAUUAACACACAAGCAUGCAUACUCGAUGAAUAUAUUGGUUUGUACCUUAAACAUGUUCAAAAUUUUGUAGCAUCUUCUAUUAAAAGAAAAAUUACUUAUUCAUACUAUGAACAUGGAAAGAUGAACUUAAAUUGCACUCAUCAACAAAUAAAACCUCUAAUGCACAUGAAUUGCACGAAUUUAUACAUGCAAUGGAUGAGUACUUAUCGUAUUCAUGUUAUUUAUGUGCAAGCAAUUGAAGGAGAUUUAUAUCACAAAACCACUCUCAGGUCCUUGAAUGCUCCAUUUUCCUCAUUACCACCCUUUCAUCCUUCGAAUCAUUUGCAUUUCUCCACAUCCUAGAUUGUCUGUUAGUUGCUCUUACACGAUCCAACACCUCGAAUGAUUCAAUGGAUGCUUGUAAUUCCUAUGCUAAAUCUUAAACUUUGAAAUGUUGAAAUCCUCGUCAAAAUCAUUACUUGCUUCACUAGAAUCAAAAGAACUCGGCAAUUAAUCGACAUUAUGAUGCUCCCAUGGACCUCGCCUCUUGCAUAUAUCCUACUUGAGAAGUAUGGGCUAUCUUUUCGAAUGCAAUCACUUUCUAGCUCAAGUGCAUGAACAAUGGCAUCAUCUUUGCAAGUAUAUUUUCCCAUCUUCUUAGAUGAAGUAGAUGCAGACAACUUAGCUUUCUCAAUGCAUGAAUCAUACUCCCUACAAUAGAAAACUUUUACUCUUUUUGAUGUCUCGAGAUUAUACUAGUACCUUAAAGAAUAUUCUAAAAACUCAUAUCAUAUUAUAUCUGAUACAUAUUGAACUCAAGGAAGUGCAUUACAUAGUUCAAAGUAUCAAAAUAGGGGUUAUUGGUAAUAAUAUUGAGGUGAUUGAAGUUUGGAGCCCAUUCAACCUUUUCUUGAUUAAUACACAAGCAUGGAAACUCGAUGAAUGUAUUGAUUUGUACCUAAACAUGUUCCAAAUUUUGUAGUAUGUUCUGUUAAAUGAAAAAUUACUUAAACAUGCUAAUUUACACUAUGAACAUGGAAAGAUGCACUGUAAUUGCACUCACUCAUCAACAAAUAGAACCUUUAAUACACAUGAAUUGCACGCAUUUAUACAAGCAAUGUAUGAAUACGUAAAUCGUAUUCAUAUUAUUUAUGUACAAGCACUUGAAGGAAACACAAGUAUACUCCUCGAUAUAAGGUAAAAUGAAAAAUUACUUAACAAGCUACUUUAUGCCAUGAACAUGGUAAGAAGAACUCAAAUUGCACAUGGCAACAAAGUAUACCUCUAACACACGUGAAUUGUACUCAUUUAUAAAUGCAACGCAUGAAUAAUUAAUAAAAAGAUGAUCUGAGAGUUGGCUAAACUUUGCCAAAAACUAACUAGUUGAGAUAGCUCAACUUUGUCGUGAAUUUUGUACUCAUCCUUGAUUGCAAAUGCUCUACUAUGGUCAAAUUAGUUAAUUACAAUAACUUCGUUUUCGAUUGCCUCUCAUAUUGGGUGGAAUGAACAAAACUUCUUUUUUCAAUGAGGAAGAUAACUACGCCUAAUUAGUUCAUUCGCCUAUUCAACAAUAAAACGAGCACAAAUAUGACAAUUACUGUCAAAGAGAACCUAUUUCAAUGUGUUUUGAUGUGCAAUCUAGCAUUCAAAAUAUUUUCUUCAAAUUCAGGAUUAGUAAUAAAAGUUGAGAAGUAAUCAAGCAGCUUAUUUGAUCUCCCUUCUCGACUAGGAUCCAACUAGAUUCGGUUAAAAAAUAAAGAAUUAUUAAGAAUUUCGACAACUUUCACAACCACCGAAUUAUACUCCGUAGUACAAAAAGAAAAUAGGCUGAUAUAUCAUUAACAAUUGGCAAACAAAGGCAAAAGAUAUAAGAAAUUUAAGAAGAAUUAAAAAUAAUAGACGAACUUCUAUACAAAAAUAUUUUUCCAAUAAAAAUUAGAACAUUCCAACCUAUUGAGAAUAAUAUAUAUUAUUUAGUUGUAAAGUAAUGUAAACCAAAUGUCCUGAAGAUGCUAUUGUUCUAAAGGACUUCAUAGGGCAAGACAGUCUAUGAUUUUCUUGUGGGACUUAAUCCAGAAUUUGAUCAAGUUAGAAUCUAGAUUCUUGGCAAGCAGGAAGUUCCAUGUUUUGAUGAAGUGGUGGCAUUGAUUCAAGGUGAGGAAAACAGAAGGGGUCUGAUGCUUGAACCACAUAGCACUGACAGCUCUGCUAUGGUGGCUAAUGGUGGCAAUAAUUCAGCCACGCUUGUGGAAAGAACACCAAUUGUUGGAAAUGGAAGACCUGACCAACCAAAAGCUCAGAACUAUGAUUACAAGGAUAGCUUGUGUGCACUUAAUAUAAGAAAGCACGUUAUAAGCGUGAACGGUGUUGGAAGCUUCAUGGAAAACAUCCAAGUCGAGAGUUGGGACAAAAAGGAGAACAGUCAAGAAACCAUGGUCGGGCCCAUGUUGCUGCGAUGCAGCAGAAUGAAGCAGCACCACAGGAGUCAAGUGGUCUCAAUCAAGAAGAGGUCGAAAGAGAGAGAUCUGUUAUUGGCAAUCUUGACAAACCUUCAAAUACUUGUUCAUUGGAGUAUUCAGGUGAGUUUCCAUUCUCUAUUGGAUUAAAUAUCUCGGGUGUAACCUUUGCCAUCUCAUGGGUCAUGGACUCAAGAGCUACCGACAUAUGACCCACUCACCAAAUAUUUUUUUCACAUAUUCCCCAUGUCAAGCAAUAGGAAACUAGUCGUAGCUGAUGGUUCUUUGACCACUGUAGCAGGUAUAGGAGAUGUCAAAAUAAGCCCCAUCACCGACCUUAAAAAAUAUUCUCCAUGUCCCUAGACUAUCCACAAAUCUUUUCUCUAUACAAAAAUUCACUCAAGAUUUACGUUGCAAUGUGGUUUUUCAUCAUAGUUGUCAUGUAUUUCAGGACGAGGAUUUGGGGAAGAUGAUUGGACAUGCUAGAGAACGGGAUACGCUCUACAACCUUAAAUCACCGAGCCAGUCAAGCAUUAUCAAGGGCAAAUUACCUCAUUAUUUUGUUUCAGAGUCUUUUUCAUCCAAUAAAGAGAAAGUUUGGCUUACCCUCACCGACUUGGACAUUCGUCAUUUAGGGUUAUUAAAAUUCUGUUUCCUUCUUUAUUUAAAGGUCUAGAUGUUGCAAAUUUUCAUUGUAAAUUGUGCGAACUUGUUAUACACAAACUGUGUAUCUUUUCCAGUUAGUAAUAAAAGAACUUCUAUUCCUUUUUAUCUCAUUCACAGUGAGAUUUGGGGUUCUUCUACUAUUUGUCAUGUUUCUUGGGCAAGAUGGUUUGUUUCAUUUAUUGAUAAUUGUACUCGUGUCACUUAGAUUUUUUUGCUCAAACAUAAAUCUGAUGUUAGUACCAUUUUUCCAAAUUUUUGUUCCAUGAUUAAGAAUCAAUUUGGGGUUAAUAUCAAAAGGUUUUGAUUGGAUAAUGCUAGGGAUUAUUUCAAUCAAUUGCCAUCUUCGUACUUUUAGAAGGAAGGGAUAGUACAUGAGUCAUCUUGUGUUAGUACCCACAGUAAAACGGAGUAGCAGAAAAAAAUAGACACCUUCUUGUAUUAACCCAAGCCUUCAUGUUCCAGAGAAAUGUACCUAAAUCCUUUUGGGAAGAGGCAGUUCUUAUAAGUUACAAUCAUACAUCUUAUAAAUCGUUUACCUUCCAGAAUCUUGGGAUUCAAGAGUCCAAUGGAAAUACUCUCAACAUUCUAUCUUAAUAUACAUACUACAAAUAAUCUUAUCUCUAGGAUAUUUGGGUGCAUAUCAUUUGUCCAUGUCCAUAGUCAAAAUAGGGGAAAGUUGGAUCCUAGGGUGUUAAAAUGUGUUUUGUGGGUUAUUCACAGCUCCUUAUCUUCAGUGGGAGAAUUCAACAAUGGAAGAUAAGGAUAGAUUUUUGCUUGAUCUAUCGUCACUUCCUCAUUCCACUAUGUUGAAUCCUGUGUCUCCUAUGUCUGAACAUGUGCCCGAAAAUCCCCAUACAAAGACGGACUUUGCUCUUGAAAAUGUAAGAUUUGGUAAGGGCAAGGUGUUUUCGAGGAAGGAGAAUUUGGUCAGUCUCACUCUUUUUGUGGAUAAGGGAAAAAAACAUUUGUCACAACAAUUAUAUGUUUUAUGCAGGGAUUAAUAAAGCGAAAGAUUUACGAUGUUUAGAGGCAAAGGUUAAUCCUUUAAAUUAAAUUUUUUUAUUUUCAACUUCAACUUGCAAAUUAGGUUCUGUAUUCUAAAGCACAAGGCUUCUUCCCGUCUUUUGGUUCACAAAAAUAUUUCAAUAACUUUUGACUUUGGUUGGUUGUGAAUAAAUUUCUAGUUAAAUUGUACAAUAAUUUAGUGUGCAUGAUUUUUGAGAUUAAUGUUAGUUGAAGAAGCGUACUUUGUAGUUGACUAAGUGUUUAGAUUGGAAUGUUGUUUUUGGUAAAAAGAUGGCUAUAAAAGGGGUGAGAUGUCUUUGUAGAAUGCAUUCCUUUCUUUGGUGCCUCCUCAUAACCAAUUCAAUAACAUGAACAUGUUGGUGAAUGUUUCAUCUUUCCUCCAGCAGUCAUUCUACUUUACUGUGCUCCAAUUCAUGUAAUUUUACUUAUUUUCAAGGCUUGUAAUGUAAUUAAGUACUGAUUUUUAAUAACUCUUGUCAUCUUCAAAUAGCCUAUCUCAUUUAAUUUUCUGUGUAAUUUUCAAAUACAAUCCAACCCUUCAAAUGCGUUGUAAGAUUACAUGGUAAGCUUAACUAUUUGUUUUGGCUUAAUAAUUGCUUCUUUUCUAAGCAAAAAUGCCGCCAAGCUUAUGCAGGACUCUUAGGUCCCCAUUGUCAAAUUUCAAUCCUGUAUGGUUACCCUAUUGUUUAAAUUUAUUGUAUGUAAUUUAGUCCGGUUUAACUAGCACAUUUUUCACUAUGAUUUUUCUAUUUCCACCGAGACAAUUCAAUGAAUUUUUGACAUUAUUUUCCACAUACGAAAUUAAAAAACCUUUUUUCCAGUUUAAAGUUUGUCUUAUGUGAUUCGAAAUAAUGUUUCAACCCAAGAACAUCCAUUUCAAGCACAAAAAUUGCACCAGCAAAAAGAAACUUUAAUGCACACAAAUUGCACAUUACUAUGCUCCAAGCCAAAAUCUAAUCUUAGAAGCCAUUUAAGUUGUAGGUAAUAUGAUGGAAAGCAGAGAAAACUCAAUUGUUAGUUAUGGCUUCAACUAAAGUAUUUAGAAAUUUAGGUCGGGCACAAAAGAAGCUGAAAAUGAGUAAUCAUGCUUUUUGAUCCGAGUCAUUUUCACUUCUGGAAACCUGCUUCCUGAGUAAUGGGUCGUUUUCACCAUAUUCAUUCCAUCCAUGGUAACCUCAUGCUUUCUUAUGGGUUUUAAUUGUUUAAUCUAUUCUUUCAGUUAAAAGAAUAUUAAACCAUUAAGCAUACAUCUUCCAUAGCACAAGAAAUAGAACCUUAGUUAACUAUAAUCACCAAAUCAUAUGAAAAAUGGCGAAAUGCUCUCCCAUCAGGUAGCGGAAACUGAUGAGGUUGUCCGUUAUGGCUGUGACUUAUUGUGAAUAUCGCUUCAUUUGAGCUUUAACUUGAGUGUCUCUUAUUUGUUACAUAAUUUAGGGCUUGAUCGAGUUUAAGUAGUUCUUGAAGUUCACUUUAAAUUUUAUCUUUUCAAGAUUUCCUUUCGUUCCAUUUUCCUUAAAUUUUUCUUUUUGGGUCAAAUUUGUACUACUCACUCUUUUUGGUAAAGUUCUCCGUUUUAUGCAGGGAUUAGUAAGGCAAAAGAUUGAGGAUGUUCAGAGACAAAGGUUACUUUUUUGAAUAGGUAUGUUUGAUUCUCAACUUCAAUUCUGCAGAAAAAGAUGAUGUAUUCUAAUGCAAGAGACUUAUACCAGUGUUUUGGUUCACAAUAAUAUUUCAAAUAAAAAUUAUCGUAAGCACUCAAACUGCACAUAGCAAAAAUGAACUCCAAUGCAUGCAUAUCGCGCACACAUUUAUAUGCAGAAAACAUUAAUGAAUAAUCACAUAAUAUAGUGUAAAAGUUCUUUCAAAUACCAAACCAGUCAAUUGGUAAUAGUAUCAAAAGACGUCAAAAGAGGCAGUAUCUAUCUGGGGUGGGGAGUAAGGAAGCUCUGCAAAAGAACAGCAUAGCCCUAGAUAAAACUAGUGCUUCCUCAGUUUCAGAGAAUCCAACAAAAAGAGGCGCAUAGAUGGGCAGAAGGGGAACAGUGAGGAAGUCAGAAACCAAAUGACAACAGUGAGCAGGGCGACCCACAAAUUUUCUUCUGGAAAUUAUCUAAAGGGCUAUUUGGGAGAUGAAAGAGUUAUUUCUGCCAGUGACAAGUCCACAAGCACAAAGAAGUGGUCUAAAUUUGAACUUCCCACAACGUUGACGGGAAAAGCAACAACAAAAAUCUUCGAGAAGCUACACUAGUGAAGCAUUGUUGUUGAAUUGGAAUCUGUAAAUAAGACGAGCAUGAACAUGGAAAAUGAGAAGCCAUCAGUUGUUAAUGCACUGAAGAUUAAUAAAAAAAUGUGCUAAAUUUCUUUGUUCCAACAAGCCUCAAAAGUCUUCCAUGUGUGAUUGAACUAGGAAGUUAAAUACAAAUGUUAAAGAAAUUGUGUUGACGAGUGCAUUAUAAUCAACCAACCUUACAUCAAACAGCAGAAUACUUUCCCAUCAUAUUGGCGGAGCCGUGAUCUCUAUCUCAACUUCCAUCCACCAAUAGAGGUUUGACAUGGCCCACUUGCCGUGAUCUGUGACUACUUAUUUUGAAUAUGGCAUUAUUUGAGCUUUAAAUUGAGUGUUUUNACUAGGAAGUUAAAUACAAAUGUUAAAGAAAUUGUGUUGACGAGUGCAUUAUAAUCAACCAACCUUACAUCAAACAGCAGAAUACUUUCCCAUCAUAUUGGCGGAGCCGUGAUCUCUAUCUCAACUUCCAUCCACCAAUGGAGGUUUGACAUGGCCCACUUGCCGUGAUCUGUGACUACUUAUUUUGAAUAUGGCAUUAUUUGAGCUUUAAAUUGAGUGUUUUUUUUAAUUUGUUACAUGAUUUAGGGUUUGAUCAAGUUUAAAUAGUCUUUCUUAAAGUUCACUUCAAAUUUUAUCUUUUCAAGAUUUUCCCAUUGUUCCAUUUACCUUAAGUUUUUCUUUUUGGUGUUGAAUUUGUUCAAUCCCGUUCUUUUUUGUAGAUAAAGGAUACCUUUGUCACGGCAAUUACCUAUUUUAUACAGGAAUUGUUGGAAUUUUGUAUCGGAAAUUGGUUGUGACCAAUUUUACAUGAUUAUUUAAGUGGAAUUCUUAAUUUGGUGAAUGAGAAAUUAAGACAAAUGUAAGCCGCUUAAUACUGAAAAUUGUUGGAAAAUUGUAUAGAAUAUUGUAGAAUAUUCUAGAAAAUGGUUGGAUGAAAAUAUGUAUUGUCAUAUGAACGGUCAUAACCUUUGGUAUAAUUAUUUUCCAAUAAUUAUGAAUUUCAAGAGACGUGACUCUUGAUAUGGUUGUGGUCAUAACCUUUGGCAUAAUUAUUCUCCAAUAAUUAUGAAUUCCAAGAGAUGUGACUCUUGGUAUGGUUGUGUCUUUUGACAUACCUUUCCAACUACUAUAUAUAGAUCCCAUGUGUUUGAAUUUUAUCAUUCAAGAAAUUCAUGAAAGUCAAUAGAUAAUUCAUAUCAUUCCAUUCCAUGCUUACACUUUAGUUUGCAUAAAACACUUUUAGAAGUGAUUUAAAUUUGCAUCAAAGUCAUGGUCAUGGUAGAGAGGGAAUUCCGUUCGAGUUCGCUGGUCGAAGUCAUUUGAAGUGCUCCUAUGACUCGACGUGGUCGUUGUAUCUUGGGAGAUGAUUGCCGGAGAACCGUUAGCACCGAUGCGGGGCAAAUUCAUCUUAAGGAUAAAGUGUCCAACACUUGCCUCGGCCAAAAAUCCAUCACAUGCAUCUUCUCUCUUUAUUUUCUGAUUUCUGUUAAUUAUACUUUGAUUUCAGAAAAUUGAUUAAUCUGAUUUAUAUAUUUAUGCUGCAAGGUUUGAUCGUUCAAGAAUCGAAAGGGAAGAAUCCAUAUUCUUGAGUUCAGAAUCGGUAAAUUAUCAUUUCUCCUUGUUAAAUCCAAUUUUGGUAAGUUGGAUUACAUUUCGAUUUCAUGCAUAUAACCAGUAUGUUUAUUGUGAAUAUAAUAUGCACGAUAAUCGGUGUAAAUUCUCCAACAGGAAUAAAUUGGGGUGAAAGAUUUAAGAUAUUCAUAGGCAGAAAUUAGCUCUUUGAAUUGAAAUUUUUGAUUUUCAACUUCAACUUUGAAAAUCAGGUGAUGUAUUCUAAAGCACAAGUCUUAUACCAGCGUUUGGUUCACAACAAUAUUUUGAAAACAUUUGACUUCGGUUGGUUUUGUGUAAAUUUCUAAUUAUAUUGUACAAUAAUUUAUGUGCAAGCACUUGAAGGAGAUGUAUGUCACGAAACCACUGUUGGAGUCCACUCAUUCCUCUCAAUACCACCUGUUAUCCAUGAAAUCCUCUUCAAAAUCAUUACUCGCUUCACUAGAAUCAAAUGAACUCGGUAAUUAAUCAACAGCAUUAUGCUCCCAUCGACCCUGCCUUCUGUGGAUAUCCUACUUGAGAAGUAUGGGGAGUCUUUUUGAAUGCAGUCACUUUCUAGCUCAAGUGCAUGAACAAUGGCAUCAUCUCUACAAGCAUAUUUCCCCAUCUUAGAUGAAGUAGAUGCAGACAGCUUACUUUUCUGAAUGCAUGAAUCAUACUCCUUGCAGUGAAAAACUUUUACUCUUCGACUUCUCGAGAUUAUUCCAAUACCUUAAAGAAAUUCUCUAAGAACUCAAAUCAAAUUAUAUCUGAUACAUAUUAAACUCAAGGAGAUGCUUUACAUCGUUUAAAGCAUCUAAAUAUGGGGUAUUGAUAUUAAUAUUGAGGCGUUUGAAGUUUGCAACCUUUUCUUGACUAACAGAAAAGCAUGCACGCUCGAUGAAUAUAUUGGUUUGUACCUUAAACAUGUUCAAAGUUUUGUAGCAUCUUCUAUUAAAAGAAAAAUUACUUAAACAUGCUACUUCAUACUAUGAACAUGGAAAGAUGCAUUUAAAUUGCACUCAUCAACAAAUAAACCUCUAAUGCACAUGAAUUGCACGCAUUUAUACAUGCAGUGUACGAGUACUUAUCGUAUUAAUGUUAUUUAUGUGCAAGAACCUGAAGGAGAUGUAUGUCACAAAACCACUCCCAGGUCCUCGAAUCCUCUCAUUUUCCUCACUACCACCCUUUCAUCCUUCGAAUCAUUUGCAGUUCUCAACAUCCUAGAUUGUCUGUUACCUGGUCUACACAAUCCAACAUCUCGAAUGAUUCAAUGGAUGUUGGUAGUUCCUAUGUUGAAUCUUAAAUCUUCUAAAUUAUUGAAAUUCUCGUCAAAAUCAUUACUUCACUAGAAUAAAAAAGACACAGAAAUUAAUCAACAUCGUGAUGCUCCCAUGGACCUCGCCUUGUUCAUAUAUCCUACUUGAGAAGUGUGGGCCAUCUUUUCAAAUGCAAUCACUUUCAUGCUCAAGUGCAUGAAUAAUGGCAUCAUCUCUGCAAGCAUAUUUCCCCAUCUUCUUAGAUGAAGUGGAUGCAGACAGCUUAGCUUUCUCAGUGCAUGAAUCAUACUCCCUACAAUGGAUAACUUUUACUCUUUUUGAUUUCUCGAGAUUAUAUUAGUACCUUAAAGAAAUUCUCUAAAAACUCAAAUCAAAUUAAACUCAAGGAAGUGCAUUACAUCGUUCGAAGUAUCUAAAUAGGGGACAUUGAUUUUAAUAUUGAGGUGAUUGAAGUUUGGAGCCCAUUCAACCUUUUAUUGAUUAAUACACAAGCAUGCACACUCGAUGAAUGUAUCGAUUUGUACCUAAACAUAUUCCAAAUUUUGUAGCAUGUUCUGUUAAAUGAAAAAUUACUUAAACAUGCUAAUUUAUACUAUGAACAUGGAAUGAUGCACUGUAAUUGCACUCACUCAUCAACAAAUAGCACCUCUAAUGCACAUGAAUUGCACGCAUUUAUACAAGCUAUGUAUGAAUACGUAAAUCGUAUUCAUGUUAUUUAUGUACAAGCACUUGAAGGAAACACGAGUAUACUCCUGGAUAUAAGGUAAAAUGAAAAAUUACAUAACAAGCUACUUUAUGCCAUGAACAUGGUAAGAAGAACUCAAAUCGCACAUGGCAACAAAAGAAUACCUCUAAUGCAUGUGAAUUGCACCCAUUUAUAAAUGCAACGUAUGAAUAAUUAAUAAAAAUAUGAUCUCAGAGAUAACUAAACUUUGCCAAAAUCUAACUAGUGGAGAUAGCUCAACUUUUUUGUGAAUUUUGCACUCAACCUUGAUUUCAAAUGCUCUAUUAUGGUCAAAUUAGUUAAUUACAGUAACUUCGUUUUCGAUUGCCUCUCGUAUUGGACAGAAUGAAAUAAAUUCUGCUUAGAAAUUUUUUUGAACUAAACUUGAUAGAUUUUUUUCUGGGCUCUACAAAAGGAUCGAAUUGAGAAUUAUUUUGCAUUAAUUAUAAUUUAACAUACAUUUUUCUUUAGAUAAAAAUUUGGGAAAAAGAUAAAAAAAUAAAAAUAAAAAUAAAAAUGAAGAAGAGAUGGAAAAUUCACACAUUGAUUAAUAGUAGCGUAAGAAAUUAUGAAGUUAUUUUCUCUCUCCAAAAACAAUGCUAAAUAAACUUAAUACAGAAAAAAACCCUCUAUAUUUCAAGAAAAUCAACUAAAAAUUCAGACUUGACAACAUCAACCUCUGAUGUCACAAGUCAGGUAUUCAUAAACAUUUGCUAUAGAGAUGUGUUUUCCUGACAGCGUACAAUGUCUAGCACUAGAACAAUUAAAUAGAUUGACUAUAACUUUCUGGCUAGUGGCUUCGAGUCCGUACGAGGAAAUUUUGAACUCAUAUUCUUUACUUUUUUGCAGCCAAAACAAACAGAACAAGCUGACAAAAUGACAAUGAGGAAGAUAACUACGCCUAAUUAGUUCAUUCACCUAAGUUUUAUGUUACGUCUAAUUAGUUCAUUCGCUUGUGCGACAAUAAAGACGGAUCUCUCAUGCCUUGGUGAGAUUUUGUUACCGUUAGAUGCCACUAAUUAAGGCUAGAUUGUGGAAGUCUUCACCUUUUUUUCUCCAAGAAUUUCGAGCAUCCAUAGGCUGAGUUGGAGUAAGAUUAUAAUGGGCCGGAUAUUCUGCUUCGCAUCUCCCUUCUGUUUUACUUUCUGCUUCAGCGCCCAGCCCACUGUUUCCUGUUGUAAUAAACCAGACACCCACAAGGCAUCAUCAGCACACUCCUUCCAUCAAUCUCUGCCGAUAUCAAGUCCUCCUGCAUCAAGACCUGAAACUUUUUGGACGUUAUGUAAUAAGUGCCAGAUGCUAUAUGAGUUCCUGAAGAUUUAUCUUGACCAAACUCUAAUGUUCCCCCACUGUCGAGAACCCCUUUUGGCGAAAGAGGAGUCUGCUCCUGCUGCUGGAAGCGUUCCCAGUUUACUUUUCCCUUGGUCCUUCCACCAUCAGAAGCCAGGUUCAUCUGCUACAGUAGGGGGUUCCAAAAGUGUGACAGCUUCAGCUGUAAGAACUACUGAAACUACACAGAUGGUCCAGUCAGCUGGUAAGAGUCUCAAGAGAGGGCGCAAAGAAGCAGUGGCCCAUACAAUUUCAUUUGGAAAUCUAAAAGGCAGUUUUGGAGCCGAAAGAGUUACUUCAGCUAGUGAACAGUCAACAAGCACAAAGGAGUUAACUCAAUCUGAACUUUGUACGAUGCUGAUGGGAAAGGCGAAGACAGAAAUCCUUUAGAAGCUAAAACAGUGGGACAUUGCUCCUGAAUUGGAAUCAAAAAAAAAAAAAGGCAUGAACAUGGAAAAGGAGAAGCCAUCAGCUGUUAAUGCAUUUGAAGAUUAAUAAUAUAAAAAAAUUGUGUGUCAUGCCAUGUUUCUUUGUUCCAGCAAGCUUCAAAAGUCUUCCACGUGUGAUUGCACUGGGAAGUUAAAUGCAAAUGUUAAAAGAAACCAUUGAUAUUACACCUAAUGGCCGUGAUUUGUAUCUCAAAUUCCAUCCACCAAAGAAGAUUUGAUGCGGGCCACUUGCCGCCAUCUGUGACUAGCUACUGUUUUUGAAUAUAGCUUCAUUUGAGCUUUAAAUUGAGUGCUUUUUUUAUUUGUACAUGAUUUACGGCUUGAUCAAGUUUAAGUAGUCAGUCUUGUAGUUCACUUCAAAUUUUAUCUUUUCAAGACUUCCCCCCUGUUCCAUUUACCUUAAAUUUUUCUUUUUGGGGUUGAAUUAGUUCAGUCUCACUCUUUUUCGUAGAUAAGGGAAAUGAUACAUUUAUCACAACAGUUACCUGUUUUAUGCACGGAUUAAUAAGGCAGAAGAUUUAUGAUGUUUAGAGACAAAUGUUAAUUCUUUGAAUUGAAAUUUUUGAUUUCAACUUCAACUAUGCAAAUCAGGUGCUGUAUUAUAAAGCACGAGGCUUAUUCUAGUCUUUUGGUUCACAAUAAUAUUUCAAAAACUUUUUAAAAUUCGGUUGGUUGUAUAUACAUUUCUAGUUAACUUGCACAAUAAAUUAGGGUGCCUGAUAUUCCCCAAUUGGUAGAAAAAAAAACCACAACCCUUAGGGUUAUCCUGCGCUUGGAAACAGAAGUAGAAAAAGGAAUAAAUAUAGUGAUAAUUUGAUUCUUCAUCAUUGUAGUAAAUAGAUCAAUACACCAAUUACUACACUUGGAUUUAUUGGAUUUGUUGCUAAAAUAUUGGUAUUAAAUCCGAAACUCCUGGCAGAUGGGGCAUAAGAACUUUUUCCUUUAUGUUCGACGGAAUUUACGUUAGACCAUAUUUUUCGAAAUAGAUCUCUAUGUUAUGCUACAAGUCUAAGUUUUGGCAAAAAAAAAAAAAAAAGGAUGAGGUUGGGUCCUAUCAGAUCUAAACAAUUUCCAUCCAAAAUUUAAUAGUUGGUCCAUUCUCAGUCUCAGUAAAGUCCAUCUUGUUGCAAUAGAAAUGAACAAGAACAAAUAAGUUUUAGCUAAUGUAAUAAAGAUACCGAUUAUUGUUAUUAAUGUUAGUUGAAAGAAGUGUAAUUCAUAGUUGACAGUGUGUUUAGAUUGGAAUUUUGUUUUUGGCAAAAAGAUAGUGCUACAAGGGGUGAGAUGUCUUCGUAGAAUGCAUUCCCUUCUUUGGUUUCUUGUCAUAACCAGUUCAAUAACAUGAACAUGUUGGGGGAAUUUUUCCAAUGUUUCAUCUUUCCUCCAGCAGUCAGUCUGGUAAAUUACAAUAACUCUUGUUAGCUUCAAACAGUCCAUUAUUUAAUUUUCCGUUUAAUUUUCAAAUACAAUCAAACCCUUCAAAUGCACUGUAAGAUUACAUAUUAUGCUUAACAAUUAAUUUUGGUUUUAGAAUUGCUUCAUUAAAACCCGUCCAAGCUUAUGCAAGACUCUUAGGUCUCCACUGUCAGAUUUCAGCCCUGAAUAUUUAGCACUUAGCCAAUUGUUUAAAUCUAUUGUAUGUAAUUUAGUCUGGAUUUAACUGGUGCAUUUUUCCCUAAGAUUUUUCUAUUUUUACAGAAACAAUUCGACAAAUUUUUUACAUUAUAUUCUACAUAUGAAAUUAAAAACCAUUUUUUUUUCUCAGUUUAAAGUUAUGUCUUAUGUGCUUGGAAAUAAUGUUUCAUCCCAAAGUUAUCCACUUGAAGCACAAAAAUUGCACAAGCAAAAAGAAACUUUAAUGCACACAAAUUGCACAUUACUAUACUAGGAGCCAAAAUUUAAUCUUAGAAACCAUUUAAGUUGCAGAGAAAACUCAAUUGGUAGUUUUGGCUAGUUAGUAAUUCAGGAAAGCAAAUGUAUUGUAAUAAAAUACUAUACGUUGUCUCAAAUUCUGCUUAGUGCACAAAAGAAACUGAAAUGAGCAAUCACAAUUUUCAAGCACAAGGGGAUAUUUUAGCUCUGCAGGAACUUGUCCCCUAGUUGGAGAGAGAGCGAAUCCGGUAAAAUGAUACAUGAAUAUUGUAUGUUUGUUAUUUAUUGAAACUAAGAUCGAUCCAACUCAUUUUCACUUCAUGUAACCUGCUUCUUGUGUAUUGAGUCGUUUUCACCAUAUUCAUUCCAUCCAUGGCAACCCUGUGCUUUCUUAUGGGUUUUAAUUGUUUAAUUUAUUCUUCAGUUGAAAGAUUAAACAUACAUCUUCCAUAGCACAGGAAAUAAAACCUUAGUUAAUUAUAAUCACCCAACCAUGAUUAAGGCCCAUCUCUCGCCAUCUGUGACUACUUAGUACUUAUUGGGAAUAUUGCUUCAUUUGAGCUUUGGAUUGAGGGUUUUUUAUUUGUUACAUGAUUUAGGGCUUGAUUGAGUUUAAGCAAUCAAUCUUGAAGUUCACUUCAAAUUUUAUCUUUUCAAGAUUUUCCUUUUUUCCAUUUACCUUAUUUUCUUCUGGAAUUGAAUUUCUUCAGUCUCGCUCUUUCUGGUAGAUAAGAAAAAGGAUGAAUUUGACACAAGUUAUCUGGCUUAUGCAGAGAUUAAUAAAGAAAAAGGAUGAAUUUGACAAGUUAUCUGCCUUAUGCAGAGAUUAAUAAGGCAAAAGUUCAGGAUGUUCAAAGGCAAAGGUUACUUCUUUGAAUUGAAAUUUUUGAUUUUCAACGUCCAUUCUGCAAAUCAGGUGCUGUUUUCUAAUGCACGAGAGUUAUACCAGUGUUUUGGCUCACAAUAAUAAUUCAAAAACUUUGACUUCAGUUGGUCGUUUGUACAAUUUCUAGUCAAACUGUACAAUAAUUUAGCUUGGCGUUUAUACAAGGAUAUUUUUCAAAUAAAAAAUUAGAACACUGCAACUCUUUACAAUGAACAUGAGCACUCAAACUGCACACAGCGAAAAUGAAAUCCAAUGCAUGCAGAUCGCACACACAUUUAUGCAUAGAAAACAUGGAUGAAUAAUCACAUAAUAUCAUGUCAAAGUGAAGUCAAAAUGAAAAGAAGGGAUAAUCACCCAACCCUGUGUCCAAAUGAAAUGAAGCCAUAUGAGUUUUUUUUUUUACCUUACAUUACAAUCUGUGUCCACUCUGGCCAAGGUAUCAGUGAACAGCCAAUGGUGGCCAACAAACUCCCACUCAUCAAAGGACUCCAGAAACAGCCCCCACUGCUUAGUAUGUUCCCUCUCCACCCUGGCCCAAGCGAUGAGAUGGCAGCCAACAGUGCCCAGCACAUAACUCCAGAAGCUGCUGCCAAUUUCCAUAUGUUCCCGUCCAUAGUCAUCAAAAUCCUCCUAAAAUUGCUAACAAUUUUCAGUGCUUUCAAAACCCCACUUCCAAGGAACCAGACACUCAUUGGGCAUUAUGUCCUGCCAGCAAUUCUCUAUGGAUCCCCAGUCGUCAUCCAUCAAGACCUGACUUUUUUAAUGUCAUGCAAUAAGUGCAGGAUACUAUGAGUUCCUGAAGAUUUACAGCGAUGAAACUCUCACGUGUCUCCACUAUCGAGAGCCCCUUUGGUGAUAGAGAAGUCUGCUCCUGCAUCUGGAAGAAUUCGCAGUUCACGUGUUCCUUGGUCCUUCCACCAUCAGAAUCCAGGUGCAUCUGCUGCAUCACAGAGUUCCGAAAGUGCAACAACUUCAGCUACGAGAGCCACUGAAACUGUAGUGUGCCCAGAUAGUUGGUGAGAGUCUCAAGAGAGGGCUCAAAGAGAGUCUGGAGUGGCGAGUAUGGAGGCUCUGCGAAGAAAUAACAUAGCCACAGACAAAACUGAAGCUCCCUUAGAUUCAGAGAAUCCAAUCAAGAGAGGUGUGUAGAUGAACAGAAGGUGAAUAGUGCAAAAUACAGAAACCAAAUGACAGGAGGGAGAAUGGCAGCCCAUAUUUCAUUUGGAAAUCCACAGGGAAAUUUGGGAGCUGAAAGAGUUAUUUUCUGCUAGUGAGCAGUCCAGAAGCACAAAGGAGUAGUCUCAAUCUGAAUUUCGUACCAUGCUGAUGGAAAAGGCUAAGACCGAAAUCUUCAAGAAGCUAAACCAGUGGAGCAUUGUUGCUAAAUUGGGACCUGCAAAUAAGAAGAACAUAAAUAUGGAAAAGGAGAAGCCACCAGCCGUUAGUGAUAUGAAGAUUAAAACAAUAAAUGUGUUGCGUUUUAUUGUUCCAGCAAGAUAUCCCAGCCUCCGAAGUCUUGUGUGUGUGAUGGCGCUGGUAAGUUAAAAUGCAAAUGUUAAAGAAAAACUGACUUCAAUUGGUCUGAUGUAAAAUUUCUAGUUAAAUUGUACAAUGAUUUAGCUCAGCGUUUAUACAAGGAUGUCUUUCAAAUAAAGAAUUAGAACACUGCAACUUUUUACAAUGAACAUGAGCACUUAAACUGUACGCUGCAAAAAUGAACUCCAAUGCACGCUGAUCGCACACACAUUUAUACAUAGAAAAAAUGGAUGAAUAAUCACAUAACAUAGUGUUGAAGUGCUGUCAAAAUGAAAAGAAGUGAUAAUCACCCAACCCUGUGUCCAAAUGAAAUGAAGCCAUAUAAGUUUGUUUCCUUGUAUUACAAUCUUUGUCCACUCUAGCCAAGAUUUCAGUCAACAGCCAAUGGUGGCCAACAAAUUCACACUCAUCAAAUGACUUCAGAAACAGCCCCUUUGUUCCCCCUCCACCCUGGCCCAAGGGAUCCGAUGACAGCCAGCGGUGCCCUGCACAUUAUUCCAGAAGCUGCUGCAAAUUUUAAUUAAGUUCACAUCCGUAAUCAUCAAAAUCCUCCUAACGCUAGCAAUUCUCUACUCAUCAACCAGUUAUCAUCCAUCAAGACCUGAAACUUUUUUGAUGUCAUGAAAUAAGUGAAAGAUACUAUAUGCGUUCCUGAAGAUUUACAACUAUGCAACUCUCAUGUGUCCCCACAAUUGCAAGCCCUUUUUGGUGAUAGAAAAGUCUGCUCCCGCAUCUGGAAACAUUUACAGUUCACGUGUUCCUUGGUCCUUCCACCUUCAGAAUCCAGGUCAGACUACUGCAUCAGUGAGUUCAAAUAGUUCAACUUCAGCUACAGGAGCCACUGAAACUGCACAUAGUCUCCAGAGAGUUGGGGAGAGUCUCAAGAGAGGGCGCAAGGAGAAAGUAUAUGGGGCAGGGAGUAUGGAGGCUCUGCAAAGAAAUACCAUAGCCACAGAUAAAACUGAAGCUCCCUCAGCUUCAGAGAAUCCAAUCAAAAAGAGGUGUAUAGAUGGGCAGAAGAUGAACAGUGCAGAAGACAAACCAAAUGGCAGGAGGAAGCAGGGUGGCCCAUACAAUUUCAUUUGGAAAUUUACAGGGAAAUUUGGGAGCUGAAAGAGUUAUUUUCUGCUAGUGACCAGUCCACAAGCACAAAGGAGUGGUCUCAAUCUGAAUUUCGUACUAUGCUGAUGGAAAAGGCCAAGACAAAAAUCUUGGAGAAGCUAAACCAGUGGAGCAUUGCUGCUGAAUUGGGACCUACAAAUAAGAAGACCAUAAACGUGGAAGAGGAGAAGCCAUCAGCUGUUAAUGAUAACUGAUAUGUGGAUUAAAGAAAUAAAUGUGUUGCGUUUCACUGUUCCAGCAAGACAUCCCAGCCUCAAAAGUUUUCUAUGUGUGAUGGCAAUGGUAAGUUGAAACGCAAAUGUUAAAGAGAAACUGACUUCAAUUGGUCGUGUGUAGAAUUUCUAGUUAAGCCCCUGUUUGGUGGCCAUUAUUUACCAAAAACAAUGUCUUGAAUAGUGAAAUUUUGGAGAAUAUGAUGAAAAAAUAGGAAAAAAAUUUGGGUUUAUAUGCAAGAUAUUUUAUUGUGUUAAUGUGUGAUUAAAAAUGAGUAUGUAGAAAAAAAGGGGGUUUUAGUUUAAAGGCUAUAAACAGGCACUAAAUUGUACAAUAAUUUAGCUCGGAUUUAUACAAGGACGUCUUUCAAAUAAGAAAUUAGAACACUGCAACUUUUUACAAUGAACCUGGACACUCAAACUGCACAAUGCAAAUAUGAACUCCAAAACACGCAGAUCGCACACACAUUUAUACAUAGAAAAGAUGGAUGAAUAAUCACAUAAUAUAGUGUUAAAAUAAUGUCAAAAUGAAAAGAAGUGAUAAUCACCCAACACUGUUUCCAAAUGAAAUGAAGCCAUACAAGUCUGUUUCCUUAUAUUACAAUCUGUGUCCACUCUGGCCAAGGUAUCAGUCAACAGCCAAUGGUGACCACCACAUUCCCACUCAUCAAAGGACUCCAGAAACAGCCCCUUCUAGUAAGUAUGCUCCCCUCCACCCUGGACCAAGGGAUCCAAUGACAGCAGUGUUGCCCGGCACAUGACUCCAGAUGCAGCUUUGCCAAUUUUCAUUUAUGUUUAUGUCCGCAAUGAUCAAAAUCCUCCUAAAUUUGCCAACAAUUUUCAGUGCUUUCCCACCCCACUUCAAAGGAACCAGACACCCAUCACGCAAUAUCACCAUACUCCUGCCAGCGAUUCUAUACCAAUCCCCUGUCAUCCAUCAAGACCUGAAACUUCUUUAAUGUCAUGCAAUAAGUGCAGGAUACUAUAUGAGUUCCUCAAGAUUUACGGCAACGAAACUCUUGUGUGUCCCCACUAUCAGGACCUUUUUGGUGAUAGAGAAGUCUACUCCUGCAUCUAGAAGCAUUCCCAGUCCACAUGUUCCUUGGUCUUUCCACCAUCAGAAUCCAGGUGCAUCUGCUGCAUCAGGAAGUUCCAAAAGUGUAACAACUUCAUUUAAGAGAGCCACUGAAACUGCACAGUGUCCAGAUAGUUGGCGAGAGUCUCAAGAAAGGGCGAAACGAGACAGUAUCUGGGGCAGGGUGUACGAAGGAUCUGCAAAGAAAUAGCAUAGCCACAGAUAAAACCGAAGCUCCCUCAACUUCAGAGAAUCCAAUCAAAAAGGGGGGCAUAGAUGGGCAGAAGGUGAACAGUGCAGAAGAAUAAACCAAACGACAGGAGGAAGCAGGGUGGCCCAUACAAUUUCAUUUGGAAAUCUACAGGGAAAUUUGGAAGUUGAACGAGUUAUUUUCUACUAGUGACCAAUCCACAAGCACAAAGGAGCGGUCUCAAUCUCUGAACUUCGUACCAUGCUGAUGGAAAAAGCUAAGACAGAAAUCUUCAAGAAGCUAAACCAAUGGAGCAUUGCUGCUGAAUUGGGACCUACAAAUAAGAAGAAUAUCAACGUGGAAAAGGAAAAGCCAUCAGCUGUUAGUGAUAUGAGGAUUAAAGAAAUAAAUGUGUUGCAUUUCAUUGUCGCAGCAAGACAUCCCAGUCUCAAAAGUCUUCUAUGUGUGAUGGCACUGAUAAGUUAAAAUGCAAAAGUUAAAGAAAACUGACUUCAAUUGGUCAUGUGUAAAAUUCCAAGAUAAACUGUACAAUAAUUUAGCUACGCGUUCAUACAAGGAUAUCUUUCAAAUGAAAAAUUAGAACACUGCAACUUUUUGAACACUCAAACUGCACAAAGCAAAAAUGAACUCCAAUGCACGCAGAUUGCACGCAUUUAUACAUAGAAAACAUGGAUGAAUAAUCACAUAAUAUAGUGUUGAAGUGCUGUCAAAAUGAAAAGAAGUGAUAAUAACCCAACCCAGUGUCCAAAUGAAAUGAAGCCAUAUAAGUUUGUUUGUUUAUUUUUUAUUUUUUAUUUUUAUAUUACUAUCUUUGUCCACUCU